AACUUUCAGCAACGGAUCUCUUGGCUCUCGCA
This 32-nucleotide ribosomal RNA is filed under the name Irpex latemarginatus. Its description in RNAcentral is "Emmia latemarginata partial 5.8S ribosomal RNA". Lineage: Eukaryota; Fungi; Basidiomycota; Agaricomycetes; Polyporales; Irpicaceae. The record is from RNAcentral.